GGCAGGGUGUGGAAGCGUAGCAAUAUGUUAAGCUGACCUGUACUAAUAUGUCGAGGGCUUGACUUA
RNAcentral lists this ribosomal RNA (66 nucleotides) under Acidaminococcus fermentans. RNAcentral describes it as "partial 23S ribosomal RNA". The record is from RNAcentral. Lineage: Bacteria; Bacillati; Bacillota; Negativicutes; Acidaminococcales; Acidaminococcaceae.